Molecule: ribosomal RNA, 461 nt
Filed under: Salmonella enterica
Lineage: Bacteria; Pseudomonadati; Pseudomonadota; Gammaproteobacteria; Enterobacterales; Enterobacteriaceae
Description: partial 23S ribosomal RNA
Rfam family: Bacterial large subunit ribosomal RNA
Source: RNAcentral
UGCUAAUCUGCGAUAAGCGCCGGUAAGGUGAUAUGAACCGUUAUAACCGGCGAUACCCGAAUGGGGAAACCCAGUGUGACUCGUCACACUAUCAUUAACUGAAUCCAUAGGUUAAUGAGGCGAACCGGGGGAACUGAAACAUCUAAGUACCCCGAGGAAAAGAAAUCAACCGAGAUUCCCCCAGUAGCGGCGAGCGAACGGGGAGGAGCCCAGAGCCUGAAUCAGCAUGUGUGUUAGUGGAAGCGUCUGGAAAGGCGCGCGAUACAGGGUGACAGCCCCGUACACAAAAGCGCAUGUGCUGUGAGCUCGAUGAGUAGGGCGGGACACGUGGUAUCCUGUCUGAAUAUGGGGGGACCAUCCUCCAAGGCUAAAUACUCCUGACUGACCGAUAGUGAACCAGUACCGUGAGGGAAAGGCGAAAAGAACCCCGGCGAGGGGAGUGAAAAAGAACCUGAAACCGU